GCCAAUAUUUUGUCUUUCUUGUGUGAUAACAUGCAUGUUUAGCUUUCAUUCUGAUUUUGCAUUGAUUCUUUGUUGAUGUGCUUACUCAUGGUAUACUUUGAAUAUGAUCUAGGCCUCCUUGAUUUUCCCAUUUUAGUUUACCCAUUUCGUUUCUUACCAUUGUACCCUGUUUUGAGCUUUAGUCUGUUUUCUUUGCUUUCCAUCCAUUUCAAGCCACUUCCCC
RNAcentral lists this long non-coding RNA (223 nucleotides) under Vigna radiata. RNAcentral's name for it is "long non-coding RNA (VRAD_LNC005488)". Lineage: Eukaryota; Viridiplantae; Streptophyta; Magnoliopsida; Fabales; Fabaceae. The record is from RNAcentral.